This 772-nucleotide ribosomal RNA is filed under the name activated sludge metagenome. Its description in RNAcentral is "bacterial SSU rRNA". It matches the Rfam family "Bacterial small subunit ribosomal RNA", at positions 8 to 808 of the family's 1533-position model. The record is from RNAcentral.
AGAGUUUGAUCCUGGCUCAGGAUGAACGCUGGCGGCGUGCCUAACACAUGCAAGUCGAGCGAUUCUCUUCGGAGAAGAGCGGCGGACGGGUGAGUAACGCGUGGGUAACCUGCCCUGUACACACGGAUAACAUACCGAAAGGUAUGCUAAUACGAGAUAAUAUGCUUUUAUCGCAUGGUAGAAGUAUCAAAGCUUUUGCGGUACAGGAUGGACCCGCGUCUGAUUAGCUAGUUGGUAAGGUAACGGCUUACCAAGGCGACGAUCAGUAGCCGACCUGAGAGGGUGAUCGGCCACAUUGGAACUGAGACACGGUCCAAACUCCUACGGGAGGCAGCAGUGGGGAAUAUUGCACAAUGGGCGAAAGCCUGAUGCAGCAACGCCGCGUGAGCGAUGAAGGCCUUCGGGUCGUAAAGCUCUGUCCUCAAGGAAGAUAAUGACGGUACUUGAGGAGGAAGCCCCGGCUAACUACGUGCCAGCAGCCGCGGUAAUACGUAGGGGGCUAGCGUUAUCCGGAAUUACUGGGCGUAAAGGGUGCGUAGGUGGUUUCUUAAGUCAGAGGUGAAAGGCUACGGCUCAACCGUAGUAAGCCUUUGAAACUGGGAAACUUGAGUGCAGGAGAGGAGAGUGGAAUUCCUAGUGUAGCGGUGAAAUGCGUAGAUAUUAGGAGGAACACCAGUUGCGAAGGCGGCUCUCUGGACUGUAACUGACACUGAGGCACGAAAGCGUGGGGAGCAAACAGGAUUAGAUACCCUGGUAGUCCACGCCGUAAACG